AGCGGGUUUCAGAAAGAUGAUGGCCUUGGGCAGUCAGCUUUAAUUUAAAUCUACUCAGUUUUGGUCUGAGAUGGAAACUUUAUUCGAAGUAAAUUAGCUGAAUCAAUAAAUCAGCGCUGAGUGUUGGUGUAACAUUUGUCUUCAAGCUGCUGGUAUAUAAUACUGCAUUACCGUCCUUGAGACUGGUCAGACCAGAUUUUCAAAGAAGAGAC
Paramormyrops kingsleyae is the source of this 212-nucleotide long non-coding RNA. RefSeq lists it as uncharacterized. Lineage: Eukaryota; Metazoa; Chordata; Actinopteri; Osteoglossiformes; Mormyridae. The record is from RefSeq and is a predicted model, not a curated record.